AAUGAACGCUGGCGGUAGGCCUAACACAUGCAAGUCGAACGGCAGCACAGUAAGAGCUUGCUCUUACGGGUGGCGAGUGGCGGACGGGUGAGGAAUACAUCGGAAUCUACUUUUUCGUGGGGGAUAACGUAGGGAAACUUACGCUAAUACCGCAUACGACCUACGGGUGAAAGCAGGGGAUCUUCGGGCCUUGCGCGAUUGAAUGAGCCGAUGUCGGAUUAGCUAGUUGGCGGGGUAAAGGCCCACCAAGGCGACGAUCCGUAGCUGGUCUGAGAGGAUGAUCAGCCACACUGGAACUGAGACACGGUCCAGACUCCUACGGGAGGCAGCAGUGGGGAAUAUUGGACAAUGGGCGCAAGCCUGAUCCAGCCAUACCGCGUGGGUGAAGAAGGCCUUCGGGUUGUAAAGCCCUUUUGUUGGGAAAGAAAAGCAGCAGGUUAAUACCCCGCUGUUCUGACGGUACCCAAAGAAUAAGCACCGGCUAACUUCGUG
Molecule: ribosomal RNA, 492 nt
Filed under: uncultured bacterium
Lineage: Bacteria
Description: partial 16S ribosomal RNA
Rfam family: Bacterial small subunit ribosomal RNA
Source: RNAcentral